AAGUGGACAUUGACAAGUGCGACUUCGAGACUAAGUCUACGACCUACUUAGGGUUCAUCAUCGAAGCUGAAAGAGGCGUACGCAUGGAUCCCAAGAAGGUGGAAGCAAUCCUCAAUUGGGAGGCACCAGUCUCGGUAAAAGGGACUAGAAGCUUCCUAGGAUUCGCCAACUUCUACCGAAGGUUUAUCAAGGACUUCUCUGAUAUCGCACGACCACUAACGGACUUGACCCGAAAAGAUGCCGUAUUCCAAUGGACCAACGAAGCGAGCGCAGCGUUCAAGAAGCUGAAGCAUAUGUUCACGAGCGCUCCGAUGCUGCAAUCAUUCGACCC
This 331-nucleotide small RNA is filed under the name Histoplasma capsulatum. RNAcentral's name for it is "hypothetical RNA". The record is from RNAcentral. Lineage: Eukaryota; Fungi; Ascomycota; Eurotiomycetes; Onygenales; Ajellomycetaceae. RNAcentral also lists the same sequence under 1 other name.